This is a long non-coding RNA of Mastomys coucha (southern multimammate mouse), 4001 nucleotides long. RefSeq lists it as uncharacterized. NCBI's taxonomy places the organism in Eukaryota, Metazoa, Chordata, Mammalia, Rodentia, Muridae. The transcript has 2 exons. The record is from RefSeq and is a predicted model, not a curated record.
ACAGCAACUCCAGGUCUGCUCCAGGUCAAACUGCCUCCGGGGCAGGCCGAACCCUCCCUUCCACUGUUAAGGGGUGUUAACUGGAGACAGGCCGGAUGUCUGACACCAACACAGGAAGUAAGAAUCUGAACGCACGCCAGCCCUAACGUCACCCCCAAGCCACAGCAAGUGGCUGGCACUCACCUGAAGGCAAAACCGCAGUGGACAGACCAUCUUGUGACCCCAGACACCUCGAUCUCUCCUGGAUGCAGUCACCUCCCCAGGUGUUUACAGAAACACAUGCAGCAUUGUGAAUUUAUAGCCAUGUAUGUACAGUCUUGUGCAUAUACAGUGUCAAUGUAUAGUCUUGCCCUUGAAGCUCCACGCAACAGAGCAUGAAAUGAAACUGUUGCACCCUAUUUCUGAGAGAAAGGGACCCCAGCGGCCGCUCUGGUUUUACCAGUAGUCAACCUGAAGGCAACUUAUUCUUGAGACUAGGAAAGGCCAAAACUGCAUAGCUGCUUUCAAGGGCUAGAAAGGUUGAGUUCUUCUGUUUCCUGGGCCUCUACUCGUUUGUCUUAUGACUACUAGGAAAUGAAGAUUGCAGUCCAUCUGUAUCAGCUCUGAAGAGAUUCCCAGAUCCAGCACUGAAGAGCACCCUCAUCUGAUAGAGCCAUUUGUUAGAUUUCCUUCUUUGCCUACUUGACUAUGCAACUAAAAAAACUCAAAUCACAUCUCCUCUCUGCCACAUACAUCGGUCAUCCCCAACUGCCACCCCAGGGACCAAAAGGGUCUGCCCCAUGCUGAGCUCAACACACAUGUCCACUUUCCCCUCCAACCAUCCCCUCUCCUUCUCAUUAGACAUGUUCAUCCCUCUGACUCUGCCACCACCAUCCAAGGAGAAACGAUUUCUGCUUUUAAAUUGAGAUAUUUUUAACUAAUAACCCCAGUAGUUUCUGUUAAUUCUGUUUAGUCUGCACGGAAUGAUUUAGAAUAAGAUAAUAGCAAUUUCAAUGGAAUCCAACCUAUUCUUUUCUUUCUGUCACUCCCCUGUCACAGAAACAAAGCUCUUUGUCUACAUCCUCCCUGUAUGCAUCCCUCCGUUGCAUACUCUCUGCUGUCUUUGUCUUUUUGCCUCCCUUUACAUCCAGUUUUCUGUAUUUCUGCAUCUUCCUAUCCAUUCCCUUUCUCCCCCUUACCCCCAGCCCCAUGCCCCACAUUCCUUUUAUCCAGAUCUGUGCCUCUAACCACCCGUGUUCUUCCUUGGUAAUCCAGAUAAUGGAGAGACUAGAGAGGGUUUAUGUUUAUACUGUACUGUAAAGGGCUGGGCUGGAGGGAUGUCUCAGUGGUUAAGGACUUGCCUACCAUUCAUGAGACACCUCCCCCCCCCAACACACACAGACACACAGUUCAAUCCCUAGCACUGGAACAAAAAGGAAAGGCCAACCACCGCUUCCUUCUCACAACUGCAUUUUUUGAUGGACACCUGCCAGCCUUGGUCCUUUCCUCCUUGGGUCAGUAAAGGCUUUUUCUUUGCCUGUUGCCUAAGUUUCACUGUUACGUCCCACAUGUGCAUUCAUUCUCCUGCUCUUGGUGGGGGUGCCCAUCUUAUCCAGACCUGGAAGAGCCUCUCUGCAUGCACUCUCCUUUCACACCUUUGCCCAAUGGUUUAAUCUCAGCUGCAAAAGCCUGCAGUCCAGUGAGCUGGGCAGGGAAGGGCACUGGAAACUCAAACCUCACUUAAGUUCAUCCAUGCUCAUAUAACAAAUAAAAGUUGUUUCCAGUUGCUUUGUUAAAAAACAAAAACAAAAAAAAAAACCUCAAAUCAUAUUAACCCCUUAGGGUUCUCUGUGCCCACCCCUGCCACUACUCAGUAUAGACUUGCGUUGCUUGGACUUCUAGACCAAUUCUUAGCUGGGACGGCCAUUUUCUAAUGUCCACACCAAGAAGGGCAUGCAGCAGGUACAACGACCUAGACAUCUGUGUUUCUCUAAGCUUCAUAUGGUGAGAGGCAUCUUUUGUUGUGAUUAUAGUAAGUAAGGUUUGUCAUGGAUGGUGAUGAGAUAUGAAGGUGUCACCCCUGUGAAUGCUGUUGUGACCAUAUAGAAGAUUCCAGAAGACCUUGUUGGCCCCUUCAGCUGGCGGCCACACAGCUGGAAAGAAUCACCUGUGGUGCCAGGAGUCUAUCCAGACCAGCCAGCAAUGGGAUCAUACAGUUCCCAUUGUUUGUAAACUAUCAGCGCAGUUUGACAUGACAACAGACCUUAGGGAGACAUUAACUGAAGAAGCAUCUCCAGAGUAUGUGACAUUCCCAGACAUGUCCUGCCUCUUUAAAGAUGUUUACCAAGUCCUUGCUCCUUACAAAAUGAAACUGAAAUGACUCAGCUCCUCAAGGCCCAUGUUGUUUGCUUAGGUUCUCACCAGCCUUGUCCAGGUUCCUCACUACCCUUCAUCUUCACAUCACAUGGAACACAGUAUUCUCAUGGAUUCUGUGGCCUCUCAUGAUCAUAGCAUAGGCUAGAAAGCUCUCCAUUCUUCAGUUUCUGGCAACAUGGCCAUGUCCUUCAAUAUCCCUUGUCCUGAAGAAUUAUGUUUUCCUCCAUCAGGGUCUUUCAUUUAUCACAAAAUGUCACAAUGGGUCCUUUGUCUCCUGAGUUGCAAGGCUUUUAGGGUCAGGAAAUUGUGACUUAUUCAUCUCAUUGACUGAAUAACAUUUUACAAUGUAGUCCUUAGAUGUCCCUCGUCAGAUUUAUCUAGGAUCCUGAUCAGCUAUAGACACCCUGGCUGAACUGUGGAACUGCUGGAUCUAUUUGUGUGGGGAGCAGAUACUCUUGGGCAGUUCCCAUAGGUUGGAGAACACAUCUAUGGUAUCUAGCAAAUAUUUGAUAAAUAAAAAAAACAUGAUUGAAACUACUAAGAUCUCUACUAAAAAGCUGCCCUCUUUUCCCCUGUCUGGGGUAGUAUCUCAUCACGUGACAGACCCAGGUAUUUGGCUCCACAUAGAUCAAAGUGGCUUUGUGGGAAACACUCUGUGUUAUUCUCUAACUGAAGUCAUGCCAAGUUCCUAUUGUCCUGUCUAAAUGCCAAAUUGCAUUUAGGGUCACUUAGAGUCGGGAAGAUGGCUGACUGUGAUAAGGACUCAGACAUUCUUGUUCAAGUGGGAAACUGGUAUUUGUGAGCAUACUCUAGAUUUUUAGCUCAGCAAAGCCAUGUUCUUAAGUAGUUCACAAGGGUCUUCUAAUGAGCAAUCAGCUCUCUUUACUGUGCUUAUCAGCAAUGAGGAUAACUCUACUCAGGUUAAUAGUCCUUUGCUGGUGACUCUGGGUAGACUGUAAAUAGGCCUUGGAGAGCUUUUCAGGUUGUAGGUGAGGCCUGUGAGCAACUGUGAGGAUGGACAAGGCAUGGCCACACAGCAUCUCCAACGCCUUUUGAAAUAUGCCUUUAAUGUUGUCCUCUAUCAUCACUAUGAGAUAUGUUGUAAAAUGCACCAUGUCAAGAAACAUCCUAAAACUUGGGUUAUCCAAAAGACCUGGGAGGACACAAAGGAUACUUAAAAGACUGGUUUGUUAGCAAAAGAGCAACUAUUUUAAAAGGCAAUACUGGGUCAACACACCUACCUCUGGCUAUAAAACCAAAGGACUUGACAUCACUAGGAUAAAGAGUCGUGUGUGCUCCCAAAUUCAUGUAAUAUAAUUCACAAUAGUCAAAGCAUAGCACCUUCCCAAGAGUCAUCAGUGGUUGAACAGAUGGAGGAAAAGUGGUACCUAUGCACUGUGUCGUAGUAACAAACCUAGAAGGAGAAGGAGUCUUUCUUUUAUGAUGACACAAAUGGAGAACAUUAUGACAGUGAAAUAAGCCAGGCAUGGGCCAAGAAAACACCCAUUCUCAUUUAUAUGUAUUGAACUUUGAGGAACAAAGUCAAAUUGUGCUUAUCGGGGCUGGAGAUAUUGUCCAAAGACCAGAAAGUCAUAACAGGAAAAACAAGUAAAUAUAGUAAAUAUUCAAGGUGAUUGAUAUCGUAA